Molecule: ribosomal RNA, 253 nt
Filed under: uncultured bacterium
Lineage: Bacteria
Description: partial 16S ribosomal RNA
Rfam family: Bacterial small subunit ribosomal RNA
Source: RNAcentral
UACGUAGGGUGCGAGCGUUAAUCGGAAUUACUGGGCGUAAAGCGUGCGCAGGCGGUUAUGCAAGACAGAUGUGAAAUCCCCGGGCUCAACCUGGGAAUGGCAUUUGUGACUGCAUAGCUAGAGUGUGUCAGAGGGGGGUAGAAUUCCACGUGUAGCAGUGAAAUGCGUAGAUAUGUGGAGGAAUACCGAUGGCGAAGGCAGCCCCCUGGGAUAACACUGACGCUUAUGCACGAAAGCGUGGGGAGCAAACAGG